This 486-nucleotide ribosomal RNA is filed under the name uncultured bacterium. RNAcentral's name for it is "partial 16S ribosomal RNA". It matches the Rfam family "Bacterial small subunit ribosomal RNA", at positions 30 to 507 of the family's 1533-position model. The record is from RNAcentral.
AUUGAACGCUGGCGGCAUGCCUUACACAUGCAAGUCGAACGGCAGCACGGGUGCUUGCACCUGGUGGCGAGUGGCGAACGGGUGAGUAAUACAUCGGAACAUGUCCUGUAGUGGGGGAUAGCCCGGCGAAAGCCGGAUUAAUACCGCAUACGAUCUACGGAUGAAAGCGGGGGACCUUCGGGCCUCGCGCUAUAGGCUUGGCCGAUGGCUGAUUAGCUAGUUGGUGGGGUAAAGGCCUACCAAGGCGACGAUCAGUAGCUGGUCUGAGAGGACGACCAGCCACACUGGGACUGAGACACGGCCCAGACUCCUACGGGAGGCAGCAGUGGGGAAUUUUGGACAAUGGGCGAAAGCCUGAUCCAGCAAUGCCGCGUGUGUGAAGAAGGCCUUCGGGUUGUAAAGCACUUUUGUCCGGAAAGAAAUCCUUGGCCCUAAUACGGUCGGGGGAUGACGGUACCGGAAGAAUAAGCACCGGCUAACUACGUG